Molecule: ribosomal RNA, 253 nt
Filed under: uncultured bacterium
Lineage: Bacteria
Description: partial 16S ribosomal RNA
Rfam family: Bacterial small subunit ribosomal RNA
Source: RNAcentral
UACGUAGGGUGCGAGCGUUAAUCGGAAUUACUGGGCGUAAAGCGUGCGCAGGCGGUUCGUUAAGUCAGCUGUGAAAGCCCCGGGCUUAACCUGGGAAUUGCGGUUGAAACUGGCGAACUAGAAUCUGGCAGAGGGGGGUGGAAUUCCACGUGUAGCAGUGAAAUGCGUAGGGAUGUGGAGGAACACCGAUGGCGAAGGCAGCCCCCUGGGCUGAGAUUGACGCUCAGGCACGAAAGCGUGGGGAGCAAACAGG